RNAcentral lists this ribosomal RNA (405 nucleotides) under uncultured bacterium. RNAcentral's name for it is "partial 16S ribosomal RNA". It matches the Rfam family "Bacterial small subunit ribosomal RNA", at positions 30 to 526 of the family's 1533-position model. The record is from RNAcentral.
AUUGAACGCUGGCGGCAGGCUUAACACAUGCAAGUCGAACGAUUGGCGGGCGGGUGAGUAAUGCUUGGGAAUCUAGCUUAUGGAGGGGGAUAACUACGGGAAACUGUAGCUAAUACCGCGUACCAUAGGAUGAGCCCAAGUGGGAUUAGGUAGUUGGUGAGGUAAAGGCUCACCAAGCCGACGAUCUCUAGCUGGUCUGAGAGGAUGACCAGCCAAAACGGGAUUGAGACACGGCCAAGACUCCUACGAGAGGCAGCAGUGGGGAAUAUUGCGCAAUGGGGGCACCCUGACGCAGCCAUGCCGCGUGAAUGAAGAAGGCCUUCGGGUCGUAAAGGUCUUCAGGUAGCGAGGCGUUAACUACAGAAGAAGCACAGGCCAACUCCGUGCCAGCAGCCGCGGUAAUAC